This 2340-nucleotide ribosomal RNA is filed under the name Belonolaimus longicaudatus. RNAcentral's name for it is "SSU rRNA". The stretch from base 1 to 1744 matches the Rfam family "Eukaryotic small subunit ribosomal RNA". Lineage: Eukaryota; Metazoa; Nematoda; Chromadorea; Rhabditida; Belonolaimidae. The record is from RNAcentral.
AUGCAUGUAUAAGUAUAAACGACUUGAUCGUGAAACCGCGAACGGCUCAUUAUAACAGCUAUAAUUUACUUGACCUUGACAAUUUACUUGGAUAACUGUGGUAAUUCUAGAGCUAAUACAUGCACCAAAGCUCCGACUUCGGGAAGAGCGCAUUUAUUAGAACAAAACCAGGCGGCUUCGGCCGUACUCUGUUGACUCAGAAUAACUAAGCUGAUCGCAUGGUCUUGAACCGGCGACGUGUCUUUCAAGUAUCUGCCUUAUCAACUUUCGAUGGUAGUGUAUCUGACUACCAUGGUGGUGACGGGUAACGGAGGAUAAGGGUUCGACUCCGGAGAAGGGGCCUGAGAAAUGGCCACUACGUCUAAGGAUGGCAGCAGGCGCGCAAAUUACCCACUCUCAGAACGAGGAGGUAGUGACGAGAAAUAACGAGAUCGUUCUCUUUCGAGGCCGAUCAUCGGAAUGGGUACAAUUUAAACCCUUUAACGAGUAUCUACGAGAGGGCAAGUCUGGUGCCAGCAGCCGCGGUAAUUCCAGCUCUCGAAAUGCAUAGAAUUAUUGCUGCGGUUAAAAAGCUCGUAGUUGGAUCUGUGCUGGCCGGUCGGUCCACCUUCGGGUGUGUACUGAUUUGGUCGGCUUUCUAGUUGGAUUUUCUCCUAGUGGGCUUCACUGUUCGCUUGGAGUGUCUAACGAGUUUACUUUGAACAAAUCAGAGUGCUUCAAACAGGCGUUUCGCUUGAAUGUUCGUGCAUGGAAUAAUAGAAGAGGAUUUCGGUUCUAUUUUAUUGGUUUUAUAGACUGAGAUAAUGGUUAACAGAGACAAACGGGGGCAUUCGUAUUGCUGCGUGAGAGGUGAAAUUCUUGGACCGUAGCAAGACGAACUACAGCGAAAGCAUUUGCCAAGAAUGUCUUCAUUAAUCAAGAACGAAAGUCAGAGGUUCGAAGGCGAUCAGAUACCGCCCUAGUUCUGACCGUAAACGAUGCCAACUAGCGAUCCGCCGGUGGUUUUUUUGCCCUGGUGGGGAGCUUCCCGGAAACGAAAGUCUUCCGGUUCCGGGGGAAGUAUGGUUGCAAAGCUGAAACUUAAAGGAAUUGACGGAAGGGCACCACCAGGAGUGGAGCCUGCGGCUUAAUUUGACUCAACACGGGGAAACUCACCCGGCCCGGACACCGUAAGGAUUGACAGAUUGAUAGCUUUUUCAUGAUUCGGUGGAUGGUGGUGCAUGGCCGUUCUUAGUUCGUGGAGCGAUUUGUCUGGUUUAUUCCGAUAACGAGCGAGACUCUAGCCUACUAACUAGUCCACACAUUGUCACUGUGUGCGCGACUUCUUAGAGGGAUUUUCGGUGUACAGCCGCACGAAAUUGAGCAAUAACAGGUCUGUGAUGCCCUUAGAUGUCCGGGGCUGCACGCGCGCUACACUGGCAAAAUCAGCGUGCUUGUCCUUCCCCGAAAGGGGUAGGUAAACCCUUGAAAAUUUGCCGUGAUUGGGAUCGGAAAUUGCAAUUAUUUUCCGUGAACGAGGAAUUCCAAGUAAGUGCGAGUCAUCAACUCGCGUUGAUUACGUCCCUGCCCUUUGUACACACCGCCCGUCGCUGCCCGGGACUGAGCCAUUUCGAGAAACUUGGGGAUUGUUGGUUUAGCGGUUUUCGGAUCGCUUCAUCGAUGAGAACCAAUUUAAUCGCAGUGGCUUGAACCGGGCAAAAGUCGUAACAAGGUGGCUGUAGGUGAACCUGCUGCCGGAUCAUUACUCAUGUAUUGAUCACAUACACACUUUUGUGUGCAUCCGUGUAGAUCACCGCUAUUGUCUGGUUAGCGGUGGUCCGAUGAAGUAGCGUAUGCAUCUGGCUUGUCUGAUGGGCUAGCUUUUCGGCCACUAAGCCUAAUGUGGCUGACUCUAGCCCGCUGGUUGCAUGUUAUGGAGUCGACGCUUGUCUGGUAGCGUUGCACGGACCGUGCCCGUGAUUUGGUCAUUGUCCGUUGACCCGUUGUGCUGGAUGGUGUCUGUCUGGAACGCCGGUCCAGUUCGGCGUUCAUAGGGCCUAACGGCUUUGCUGGCGUCUAUGCGUGGUUGAGCAGUUGUUGUCUCUCCGUCCGUGGCUGUGAUGAGACCGCGCGUUAGGGCCCAUGCCUUGCCUCUGGCAUGUUGGCUUAAGACUUGAUGAGCGCGAUGCCUCGCGCCGCCAGUACCCACUUUUUUUCAUUAUUUUUUUUUGUUUGAAGCAAGCAAAUUCAAGUCUUAUCGGUGAAACUCGUUUUUAAGAUGAUCUUGACUGUAUUUUUGUCACAGAAAACAAAACCAACUCUACCACUUGUAAGCGGUCGAUCCCUUCGGGAUCAUAGCUA